UAUCAAUUAGCGGAGGAAAAGAAACUAACAAGGAUUCCCCUAGUAACGGCGAGUGAAGAGGGAAGAGCCCAAGAUUGAAAGCUGGCGUCUUCGGCGUCCGCAUUGUAAUCUCAAGAAGCGUUUUCCGCUUCGGACCAUGCCCAAGUCCCUUGGAAAAGGGCAUCAUAGAGGGUGAUAAUCCCGUACAUGGCAUGGAGCGCCCGAAGCUUUGUGAUACGCUUUCUAAGAGUCGAGUUGUUUGGGAAUGCAGCUCAAAAUGGGUGGUAAAUGCCAUCUAAGGCUAAAUAUUGGGGAGAGACCGAUAGCGAACAAGUACAGUGAUGGAAAGAUGAAAAGAACUUUGAAAAGAGAGUUAAACAGUACGUGAAAUUGCCAAAAGGGAAGGGUAGGAGGUCAGAGAUGCGGCCUGGGAUUCAGCCUUGCUUUUGCUUGGUGUUUUUCCCAGGUUGCAGGCCAACGUCGGUUUUGGGCACUGGAGAAGGGUAGGAGGAAUGUGGCACCUCUCGGGGUGUGUUAUAGCCUCCUACUGGAUACAGCGACCGAGACCGAGGACAGCAGCGUACUCGCAAGAGCGGGCCUUCGGGCACCUUUACGCUUA
This 598-nucleotide ribosomal RNA is filed under the name Triodiomyces triodiae. RNAcentral's name for it is "LSU rRNA". It matches the Rfam family "Eukaryotic large subunit ribosomal RNA", at positions 41 to 615 of the family's 3401-position model. Lineage: Eukaryota; Fungi; Basidiomycota; Ustilaginomycetes; Ustilaginales; Ustilaginaceae. The record is from RNAcentral.